CCUAAGCGAUAAUUGGUGCUUGGUCGGAAAUUGCUCCUGCAUUUUCGACAUUCGGUACAUCCGUGUACCUUUUGAGUGUUCACACAGAUUGCUUGUUCAUAGAGCAGGCCGUUGACCCUGGUAGGUCAAUGUGUUCUUUAACAAUUUGGAAAGCUGAUAGUAGACAUCAAAACCAACUCUUCGGAGUGGAUUUGAUGCAUACAAAUUGAGUUCUCAAACACUUCAAUCAAGUGUUUUGGAAAUUCUUCAAGGCGAGUCCACUUCCUUAACCCGGAGGUGAGACAAGUAAACCUAAGCCGGUUGCAAUACAACCCGUGUUUUCCGCUAUGUUACCGAUAAGGUAGCGCAGUCAGGCGACAUGGUGUCUAAGCGGUGAUUUGAGUGAGGAAGGAGUGUAGCAGCGCUACAUGACUGACGAAUGAAAAGCACAAUAACGACAACAUGAGUACUGACAAGCGAGAUGAAAACUCAUCCGGGUUGUAU
RNAcentral lists this unclassified non-coding RNA (483 nucleotides) under Shewanella putrefaciens. Lineage: Bacteria; Pseudomonadati; Pseudomonadota; Gammaproteobacteria; Alteromonadales; Shewanellaceae. The record is from RNAcentral.